UGCUAUUUGGCUGUGUUGGAGCUGUCCUGCCCAAUCACUCUGGUCCCUGUCUUGGACUGCGUGCACAUAGAGGGUUGUCUGGGUCUAGAAUACCUGCCUCCUAUCCAGGUCCCAGUUCCAGAGGCCUAGGACCCACGCUCAUGGUGAGAUGCCUUCUGUCUCUGGAUAUCGGGAGCUCAUGGUGGGAUGUCUUCCGGCUCUGACUAUCGGGGCUUGCCUGCCAUCCACCCAGGAAGUGAUAACUCUCAUUCUCUGCUGGUAAGGUUGAUGAGAAGACCCACAGGGCCUUCUGGGUGACUGAUAUCGCCCCAGCCUACUCCGCCGUAACUUCCUGUGGGGGCAGGGCCUCUCACCCACUCUCAGCAGCCUGCCAAGUGGUUUGCUGGGGAGGAAAUUUAGGAGAGUAGGUGCCAGGUCCUCAGGAACCUCCUAGCCAUCCCUCAGACCUCAGGAACAUAACAGGUCUAAACAACAGGUCUAAACACAGGCAAGAUGUACAGGGGACCAUGUUGUCUGUCUCUUGGAGACUAGACAGAACCAGCAGGAGCUGGAGGAAGUAUGGAGAGGGGAAGUAAAGAAAUAUCUUCUUUGGAACCAAACAAUUAGGCCUGAGUCACUGUGACAAGGUUAUGAUGAGUGGAAGCAAAAAUGGCCUAGAAGAGCCAGGGAGAGCUGUCAUGACUGCUCUAAACUAGAUAUAGAGGAUCACAAGGACUCACUGAUCUCCUCCACGAUCUUCAGAAGCACCCCACCAAUGUGUGACUCCCCCGUGACUCGGAGCGUGACAGACUGGGCCUCAGGGUCCUCCUCGCCCACAAACACCCUCAGCUCCCAGGAAGAGUCGAUAUAGUCUCCGGAGGCUGUCUUCAUGCCCGCCAUCGCUGCGGCCGUUUCUGCUGAGACAAGAUCAAGAUGUCAGCUCCUCCUGUACCAUGUCUACCCGUACAAUGCCAUGCCUCCUGCUAUCAUGAUAAUGGACUAAACCUCUGAAACUGUAAGCCAGCCCCAAUUAAAAAGCUGCCCAGGUCGUGAUGUCUCUUCACAGCAAUAUAAG
Long non-coding RNA from Mastomys coucha (southern multimammate mouse), 1054 nucleotides. RefSeq lists it as uncharacterized. The record is from RefSeq and is a predicted model, not a curated record. NCBI's taxonomy places the organism in Eukaryota, Metazoa, Chordata, Mammalia, Rodentia, Muridae. The transcript has 2 exons.